RNAcentral lists this ribosomal RNA (46 nucleotides) under Saccharomyces cerevisiae (brewer's yeast). RNAcentral's name for it is "18S Ribosomal RNA from Saccharomyces cerevisiae (PDB 2NOQ, chain B)". The record is from RNAcentral. Lineage: Eukaryota; Fungi; Ascomycota; Saccharomycetes; Saccharomycetales; Saccharomycetaceae.
GCGCCGGCCAACUCCGUGCCAGCAGCCGCGGUAAUACGGAGGGCGC